GUCGAGCAGGUGCGAAAGCAGGACAUAGUGAUCCGGUGGUUCUGAAUGGAAGGGCCAUCGCUCAACGGAUAAAAGGUACUCCGGGGAUAACAGGCUGAUUCCGCCCAAGAGUUCAUAUCGACGGCGGAGUUUGGCACCUCGAUGUCGGCUCAUCACAUCCUGGGGCUGUAGUCGGUCCCAAGGGUAUGGCUGUUCGCCAUUUAAAGUGGUACGUGAGCUGGGUUUAAAACGUCGUGAGACAGUUUGGUCCCUAUCUGCAGUGGGCGUUGGAAGUUUGACGGGGGCUGCUCCUAGUACGAGAGGACCGGAGUGGACGAACCUCUGGUGUACCGGUUGUGACGCCAGUCGCAUCGCCGGGUAGCUAAGUUCGGAAGAGAUAAACGCUGAAAGCAUCUAAGCGUGAAACUCGCCUGAAGAUGAGACUUCCCCAGGGAUUUAAUCCCUCUGAAGAGACGUUCGAGACCAGGACGUUGAUAGGUCGGGUGUGGAAGAGUGGUAACACUUGGAGCUAACCGAUACUAAUUGCUCGUGAGGCUUGACUCUAU
This 545-nucleotide ribosomal RNA is filed under the name Snodgrassella alvi. RNAcentral's name for it is "bacterial LSU rRNA". It matches the Rfam family "Bacterial large subunit ribosomal RNA", at positions 2388 to 2925 of the family's 2925-position model. Lineage: Bacteria; Pseudomonadati; Pseudomonadota; Betaproteobacteria; Neisseriales; Neisseriaceae. The record is from RNAcentral.